GCCUGGUGCCAAGUUAUUGUUAAAGUGAUGGUUCGGAGUAAUUUCACUCUAGGGUCCUUAGCACCACGAUCUCAAGCCAAACAACCCCCAGAAGCUUUUUUCACCGAGUUA
Long non-coding RNA from Etheostoma cragini (Arkansas darter), 111 nucleotides. RefSeq lists it as uncharacterized. NCBI's taxonomy places the organism in Eukaryota, Metazoa, Chordata, Actinopteri, Perciformes, Percidae. The transcript is spliced from 3 exons. The record is from RefSeq and is a predicted model, not a curated record.